This 253-nucleotide ribosomal RNA is filed under the name uncultured bacterium. RNAcentral describes it as "partial 16S ribosomal RNA". It matches the Rfam family "Bacterial small subunit ribosomal RNA", at positions 524 to 776 of the family's 1533-position model. The record is from RNAcentral.
UACAGAGGUCUCAAGCGUUGUUCGGAUUCAUUGGGCGUAAAGGGUGUGUAGGUGGCGCCGUAAGUCGGGUGUGAAAGCCCCGGGCUCAACCUGGGAAUUGCAUUCGAGACUGCAUUGCUGGAGUACGGAAGAGGAAGGCGGAAUUCCCGGUGUAGCGGUGAAAUGCGUAGAUAUCGGGAGGAAUACCGAUGGCGAAGGCAGGUCUCUGGGCUGACACUGACGCUCAUGCACGAAAGCGUGGGGAGCAAACAGG